GAUGAAGAACGUAGCGAAAUGCGAUAAGUAAUGUGAAUUGCAGAAUUCAGUGAAUCAUCGAAUCUUUGAACGCAUCUUGCGCUCCUUGGUAUUCUGAGGAGCAUGCCUGUUUGAGUGUCAUUAAAUUCUCAACUACACUGACUUUGAAUUGGUGUGGCUUGGAUUUGGGGGGAAAAUUGUUGUGGGCUUUUUGUAUAGUCUGCUCCCCUGAAAUUGAUUAGCGGUACCUUUGUGGAACUGUCUACAGGUGUGAUAAUUAUCUACAUCUUAGACAUCUGCUGGAAUGCUGCUUUCUAAACCUUACUUGUAUUGACAAUCUUGACCUCAAAUCAGGUAGGACUACCCGCUGAACUUAAGCAUAUCAAUAAGCGGAGCA
RNAcentral lists this unclassified non-coding RNA (376 nucleotides) under soil metagenome. RNAcentral's name for it is "partial contains 5.8S ribosomal RNA, internal transcribed spacer 2, and large subunit ribosomal RNA". The stretch from base 1 to 120 matches the Rfam family "5.8S ribosomal RNA", at positions 35 to 154 of the family's 154-position model. The record is from RNAcentral.